UACCAGCACCCCGAGCGGUCGGGGCGAUUAUUGGGCCUAAAGCAUCCGUAGCCGGUCCUACAAGUCUUCCGUUAAAUCCACCUGCUUAACAGAUGGGCUGCGGAAGAUACUAUAGGGCUAGGAGGCAGGAGAGGCAAGCGGUACUCAGUGGGUAGGGGUAAAAUCCGUUGAUCCAGUGAAGACCACCAGUGGCGAAGGCGGCUUGCCAGAAUGCGCUCGACGGUGAGGGAUGAAAGCUGGGGGAGCAAACCGG
Molecule: ribosomal RNA, 253 nt
Filed under: uncultured bacterium
Lineage: Bacteria
Description: partial 16S ribosomal RNA
Rfam family: Archaeal small subunit ribosomal RNA
Source: RNAcentral